CCUACGGGAGGCUGCAGUGGGGAAUAUUGCACAAUGGGGGAAACCCUGAUGCAGCGACGCCGCGUGAAGGAAGAAGGUUUUCGGAUCGGAAACUUCUAUCAGCAGGGAAGAAGAAAGUGACAGUACCUGACUAAGAAGCCCCGGCUAACUACGUGCCAGCAGCCGCGGUAAUACGUAGGGGGCAAGCGUUAUCCGGAAUGACUGGGUGUAAAGGGUGCGUGGGCGGUAGGGCAAGUCAGAUGUGAAAGCCCGGGGCUCAACCCCGGGACUGCAUUUGAAAGUGUGCUACUAGAGUGCAGGAGAGAAAAGCGGAGUUCAUACUGUAGCCGUUAAAUGCAUCGAUACUAGGAAGAACACCAGGGGCGAAGGCGGCUUUCUAGACUCUAACUCACGCAGAGGCACGAAAGCGGGUGGAGCGAGCAGUACUAGAUACCCGAUUAGUC
RNAcentral lists this ribosomal RNA (443 nucleotides) under uncultured bacterium. RNAcentral describes it as "bacterial SSU rRNA". It matches the Rfam family "Bacterial small subunit ribosomal RNA", at positions 338 to 795 of the family's 1533-position model. The record is from RNAcentral.